Molecule: ribosomal RNA, 253 nt
Filed under: uncultured bacterium
Lineage: Bacteria
Description: partial 16S ribosomal RNA
Rfam family: Bacterial small subunit ribosomal RNA
Source: RNAcentral
UACGUAGGGUGCAAGCGUUGUCCGGAAUUAUUGGGCGUAAAGAGCUCGUAGGCGGUUUGUCGCGUCUGCUGUGAAAACUCGGGGCUUAACCCCGGGCCUGCAGUGGGUACGGGCAGACUAGAGUGCGGUAGGGGAGACUGGAAUUCCUGGUGUAGCGGUGAAAUGCGCAGAUAUCAGGAGGAACACCGGUGGCGAAGGCGGUUCUCUGGGCAUGAUCUGACGCUGAGGAGCGAAAGUGUGGGGAGCGAACAGG